CUAUAAACAAGAAAUGAUUGUAACAGGAUGCUGUUACGAAGUCUCCCAAACGAAGCUCCCAUAAUUCGUAAUUCCCAGGGUCGCCUGACAUUGGGCAACGUCCAGUGAAAAUUGGUUUGGUCCAGUAAAGUUAUAUGCAUUAGUGAUGCCUGGGGACUAACCUUGUAUAUCAUUCAAAUCAUCUUGGCAUGACAAACCAGAAUAUAUAUGGUUUAGGGGUGGGGAUCUCGACCAUUUACAAGAUACUAGAACAUUGGGGGUGGGGAGGAACCCCUGGGGACUGACCCUAUACGUCAUUCAAAUGUUCAUUACAUGACGAACAGGAAUAUAUAUGGUUUAGGGGUGGGGAUCUCAACCAUUUACAAGAUAUUAGAAAAUUGGGGGUGGGGGGAACCCCUGGGGACUGACCGUAUACGUCAUUCAAAUGUUCGAGACAUGACAAAUAGGAAUAUAUAUGGUUUAGGGGUGGGGAUCUCAACCAUUUACAAGAUAUUAGAUCUUUCUCAAAUGGCAGGGGGUCGGGAUGACACCUGGGGACUAACCCUGUAUAUCAUUCAAACCAUCUUCGCAUGACAAACCAGAAUAUAUAUGGUUUAGGGGUGGGGUUCUUGACCACUUAGAAGAUAUUAGAACUUUCUUAAAUGGCAAGGGUGGGGGUGACCCCUGGGGACUAAGCCUGUAUUACAUUUGAUGUGCUUUAUCAUGACAAACCAGAAUAUAUAUGGUUUAGGGGUGGGGAUCUCGACCAUUUACAAGAUAUUAGAACUUUCUCAAAGGGCAGGGGGUCGGGAUGACCCCUGGGGACUAACCCUGUAUAUCAUUCAAACCAUCUUAGCAUAACAAACCAAAAUAUAUAUGGUUUAGGGGUGGGGAUCUUGACCACUUACAAGGUAUUAGAACUUUCUUAAAUGGCAGGGGGUGGGGGUGGCCCCUGGGGAUUAACCCUGUAUUUCAUUUAAUGGGCUUUAUCAUUUAGAACAUUUUCAAUUAAAAAUAUUGUGUCUAUCACAAACGGUUUUCAAUUUAUAACCAUUUGAAAAUUUUGAAAAAUAAAAUCCCAUAGGGUUCUAUAGUAAAACCCUCUUUUCUUUUUGCCCCUCAAAGUACCCCUUUAUAAACCCCAUUGCACACACAAAACCCUGAUUGCACCACUAGACAUGUUAGUCUAACAUAUUGUGAAACCCUAAGUUAAUCUGACAAGCGGUUUUGGAGAACAGGUGCGGACAAGUUCAAAUUUAAAAGCGGCGGAAGAGGAAGAAGAAGAAGAAGAAGAAGAAGAAGAAGAAGAAGAAUAAGAACUGAGCAAAAACAAUAAGUCUUCCCAAACUUCGUUUGGGAGACUUAAAUA
Molecule: long non-coding RNA, 1348 nt
Organism: Mytilus californianus (California mussel)
Lineage: Eukaryota; Metazoa; Mollusca; Bivalvia; Mytilida; Mytilidae
Exons: 2
Source: RefSeq, a predicted model, not a curated record